CCCUAGCUGGUUUGGCUCAGUGGAUAGAGCAUCGGCCUGUGGACUGAAGGGUUCUGGUUUUGAUUCUAGUCAAGUGCACAUGCCCAGGUUGUGGUCUCCA
This is a long non-coding RNA of Myotis brandtii (Brandt's bat), 100 nucleotides long. RefSeq lists it as uncharacterized. NCBI's taxonomy places the organism in Eukaryota, Metazoa, Chordata, Mammalia, Chiroptera, Vespertilionidae. The record is from RefSeq and is a predicted model, not a curated record. The transcript has 3 exons.